AAGUAUCUCCCCUGUUCUUGAGCAGGGUGCUACUCAACCCGUGUAUACCUUACCUUUGUUGCUUUGGCAGGCCGCCUUCGGGCGUUGGCUCCGGCUGAUAGCGCUUGCCAGAGGACUCAAACUCUUUUGUUUAGUGAUGUCUGAGUACUAUAUAAUAGUUA
This 161-nucleotide unclassified non-coding RNA is filed under the name uncultured Rhizoscyphus. RNAcentral's name for it is "sequence contains ITS1". The record is from RNAcentral. Lineage: Eukaryota; Fungi; Ascomycota; Leotiomycetes; Helotiales; Helotiaceae.